Molecule: long non-coding RNA, 441 nt
Filed under: Drosophila guanche
Lineage: Eukaryota; Metazoa; Arthropoda; Insecta; Diptera; Drosophilidae
Source: RNAcentral
UGGGUAUGCUCGGCAUAGGGUAUCGAUCGGCAAUUGUUCGCUCGUUCAGUUUCCUGAAGUCGAUUACCAGCCGCUUUUUCCUGUUGCCUUUGACGUCAGAUUUCUUUUUGUCUACAACCCAAAUUGGGCUGUUGUAUGGCGACCUAGAUGGCCUGAUUAUGCCGUCCUUCAGCAGUUCUUUGACUUCUUUGUUAACGAAGUCUGCUGCUCCCAUAGGGUAGGGGUAUAAUUUCGAGUAGACUGGUUCGUCAUUCACAGUUCGGAUGGUGGCGACAACUGAGGUGUUAAAGGGAAGCGCCUCGUUAGAGGUCGAAAAAACUUUAAUUCUCUUCAGUAUCAUCUUUUUAAACUCGGAUUUUACCGAGCCUGGGACCACCAGGUCAUCGACUUUGGUGAAAUUUACGUUGUCACAUGGAACCUAAGUUGUUCAGUUACGUUUCC